This 323-nucleotide unclassified non-coding RNA is filed under the name fungal sp. RNAcentral describes it as "partial internal transcribed spacer region". The stretch from base 1 to 46 matches the Rfam family "Eukaryotic small subunit ribosomal RNA", at positions 1786 to 1831 of the family's 1831-position model. The record is from RNAcentral. Lineage: Eukaryota; Fungi.
AAGUCGUAACAAGGUAACCGUAGGUGAACCUGCGGUUGGAUCAUUAGAAAACGUGCGUCGAUUCGUUCGCGCAGAAAGCCUUUGGGAUGGCACCGGAGCCAAAGAUUCGUCGCUGGAACUUUCCAGUGCCUCCCUUUCAAGGACAUUUUGUGAACCGUUCCGUCUCUGGCGAGAGGGUAGUGAAAGCUACUUGUCAGUACUGCAUUUUUGCAGUGCCGUGGACAUCUCGCCAACCCCUUCUAAACAUAUAAUCUGUAUUUGAUGUCUGACAUUUCUUGUAUAAAUAUACAAAACAACUUUUGGCAACGGAUCUCUUGGCUCUC